This 301-nucleotide ribosomal RNA is filed under the name uncultured bacterium. RNAcentral's name for it is "partial 16S ribosomal RNA". It matches the Rfam family "Bacterial small subunit ribosomal RNA", at positions 509 to 807 of the family's 1533-position model. The record is from RNAcentral.
CAGCCGCCGCGGUAAUACGGAGGGUGCAAGCGUUAAUCGGAAUUACUGGGCGUAAAGCGCACGCAGGCGGUCUGUCAAGUCAGAUGUGAAAUCCCCGGGCUUAACCUGGGAACUGCAUUUGAAACUGGCAGGCUAGAGUCUUGUAGAGGGGGGUAGAAUUCCAGGUGUAGCGGUGAAAUGCGUAGAGAUCUGGAGGAAUACCGGUGGCGAAGGCGGCCCCCUGGACAAAGACUGACGCUCAGGUGCGAAAGCGUGGGGAGCAAACAGGAUUAGAGACCCGUGUAGUCCCUGUCUCUUAUAC